This 468-nucleotide ribosomal RNA is filed under the name uncultured bacterium. RNAcentral describes it as "partial 16S ribosomal RNA". It matches the Rfam family "Bacterial small subunit ribosomal RNA", at positions 28 to 507 of the family's 1533-position model. The record is from RNAcentral.
GACGAACGCUGGCGGCGUGCUUAACACAUGCAAGUCGAACGGAAAGGCCCUGCUUUUGUGGGGUGCUCGAGUGGCGAACGGGUGAGUAACACGUGAGUAACCUGCCCUUGACUUUGGUAUAACUUCAGGAAACUGGGGCUAAUACCGGAUAGGAGCUCCUGCUGCAUGGUGGGGGUUGGAACGUUUCGGCGGUUGGGGAUGGACUCGCGGCUUAUCAGCUUGUUGGUGGGGUAGUGGCUUACCAAGGCUUUGACGGGUAGCCGGCCUGAGAGGGUGACCGGCCACAUUGGGACUGAGAUACGGCCCAGACUCCUACGGAAGGCAGCAGUGGGGAAUAUUGCACAAUGGGCGGAAGCCUGAUGCAGAAACGCCGCGGGCGGGAUGACGGCCUGCGGGUUGUAAACCGCUUUCGCCUGUGACGAAGCGUGAGUGACGGUAAUGGGUAAAGAAGCACCGGCUAACUACGUG